This 253-nucleotide ribosomal RNA is filed under the name uncultured bacterium. Its description in RNAcentral is "partial 16S ribosomal RNA". It matches the Rfam family "Bacterial small subunit ribosomal RNA", at positions 524 to 776 of the family's 1533-position model. The record is from RNAcentral.
UACGUAGGGUGCAAGCGUUAAUCGGAAUUACUGGGCGUAAAGCGUGCGCAGGCGGUUGUGCAAGACAGAUGUGAAAUCCCUGGGCUUAACCUGGGAACUGCAUUUGUGACUGCACGGCUAGAGUGUGUCAGAGGGGGGUAGAAUUCCACGUGUAGCAGUGAAAUGCGUAGAUAUGUGGAGGAAUACCGAUGGCGAAGGCAGCCCCCUGGGAUAACACUGACGCUCAUGCACGAAAGCGUGGGGAGCAAACAGG